RNAcentral lists this unclassified non-coding RNA (350 nucleotides) under soil metagenome. RNAcentral describes it as "partial contains 5.8S ribosomal RNA, internal transcribed spacer 2, and large subunit ribosomal RNA". The stretch from base 1 to 120 matches the Rfam family "5.8S ribosomal RNA", at positions 35 to 154 of the family's 154-position model. The record is from RNAcentral.
GAUGAAGAACGCAGCGAAAUGCGAUAAGUAAUGUGAAUUGCAGAAUUCAGUGAAUCAUCGAAUCUUUGAACGCACAUUGCGCCCAUUAGUAUUCUAGUGGGCAUGCCUGUUCGAGCGUCAUUUCAACCCUUAAGCCUAGCUUAGUGUUGGGAGACUGCCUAAUACGCAGCUCCUCAAAACCAGUGGCGGAGUCUGUUCGUGCUCUGAGCGUAGUAAUUUUUUAUCUCGCUUCUGCAAGCCGGCCAGACGACAGCCAUAAACCGCACCCUCUCGGGGGGCACUUUUUUAAUGGUUGACCUCGGAUCAGGUAGGAAUACCCGCUGAACUUAAGCAGAUCAAUAAGCGGAGGA